Acanthosepion pharaonis is the source of this 85-nucleotide non-coding RNA. The record is from the annotation of a GenBank genome assembly. NCBI's taxonomy places the organism in Eukaryota, Metazoa, Mollusca, Cephalopoda, Sepiida, Sepiidae.
UUCCCGUACGGUCACUGAAGUUAAGCAAUGUCGAGCCUGGUCAGUACCUAGAUGAGAGACCGCUUGCGAAUACCAGAUGCUGUAA